AUGACUUGCAGUCGAAAUUCUCCUUCCAGUCUGCAGAAUGGAGGUUGUAGCAUUCUGCACUCCUGGCAAGGAAGCUCCGUCUGUCUCCAAUCAUGGUUCUCCAUCUCUCGCCCACAUGCAGUACGGGUAACGCCAUUCUCCAGGCGUUCGUACGGACACCAUGGAAGAAAGGGUUUGAGCGAUGGAGACAACGGCUGGAAACUCCACCGACACAACGCGACUACAUUCCAGGAGCAUAAGGAAAUUGUUACAGAAAAGGUGACAAUAAUACGUCUUGUUGGAACGGAGAACCAAAAUGAAGCAGCUGUACAUCAGAGAGAAAAUCUGAACUAAGAGACUGAUAACAAGUAUGCCGAGUAUUUUUUCUUGCUUAUGGGUGAAAAAGCCAGCAAAGUCUCUGUUUGAAGACAAAGCACAUAAUAAUAUGAUCAUAAAAAUCUCCUAAUGGGGACUGUGUGAUGCACGGUAAAUGUAUUCCUUUCAGUACGUUAUUCGCUCUGCGUGCAGGCUUUCAGGGUUCCCUCAAACCGUGCUGUGGAUAUGAUAGCAUCGGCGCAGCUACAUGUGGGCAAAGCUGGACCUCCUUUUUCCUUACUAUUGCUAUUAUUUGUGCUCUUGUCAUUUCGUACUGAUCUCAUAGCAACUCCUGAGUGGUUCAGACAGAAAAGUCACCCCAUUUUUUGUGAAGCAGUAUGCAGACAUUGCUAAGGCACCAUCUGUGCCCGGAGAAAAGCUGCAGUUGAUGGAAAUGAAGUGACAUUCAGAGGGUGGAGAAAGGAAUACAGCAAUUAUAGGUGGGGCUGGUAGUGUUACCUGUUAUUAAAGGCUUGUCUGACACUUCCCAUUUUAGGGCCUGCUUGUCGUGGUUUUUAAGUACUUAGUAAACUUUAAGCAUUAGUCUUUACCUAGACUUCUACCCUUGGCUGCUGCUGCUGCUCAGGUGUUAUUAAGAGGUUAAUUUAUUUCAUUUGGACAUCACGGCAGGAAUGGAGUUGGAGGAAGGAGCAGCAGCUUUAAGAGCUUACAAAUAAAUGUUAUCCUUUUACCUUGCA
RNAcentral lists this long non-coding RNA (1052 nucleotides) under Phasianus colchicus (ring-necked pheasant). Its description in RNAcentral is "lncRNA (ENSPCLG00000004374.1)". The record is from RNAcentral. Lineage: Eukaryota; Metazoa; Chordata; Aves; Galliformes; Phasianidae.